This 28-nucleotide small RNA is filed under the name Bombyx mori (domestic silkworm). Its description in RNAcentral is "ovarian small RNA-18175". Lineage: Eukaryota; Metazoa; Arthropoda; Insecta; Lepidoptera; Bombycidae. The record is from RNAcentral.
UAAACGGACGCGAUAGCGAUCGGCGCGU